Molecule: ribosomal RNA, 288 nt
Filed under: Triticum aestivum (bread wheat)
Lineage: Eukaryota; Viridiplantae; Streptophyta; Magnoliopsida; Poales; Poaceae
Description: partial small subunit ribosomal RNA
Source: RNAcentral
AUGGUUUAUUGCAAUUUCUUAAUAUGGAAUGUUAGGGGCCUCAAUUCGCCAGUGAGAAGGACUGCUAUUCGGUCGCUCAUUAGGAUGCAUGCUAUCAGUAUGGUGUGUCUGCAAGAGACAAAAUUAUCCAGUGUUGAUUCUGUUCUGCUGUCUGAAAUCUGUGGUGGCAAUUUCUCUGAAUUUGCUUUCUCUCCGUCUGAAGGUGCUAGUGGAGGAUUGUUGGUCGCUUGGUCUGAUAAUAUUGUUGUCUCCUCAGUGCAGUGCUCUAGAUGCUUUAUAUCCCUAUAA